RNAcentral lists this ribosomal RNA (1773 nucleotides) under Triticum aestivum (bread wheat). Its description in RNAcentral is "partial small subunit ribosomal RNA". Lineage: Eukaryota; Viridiplantae; Streptophyta; Magnoliopsida; Poales; Poaceae. The record is from RNAcentral.
AUGAGUCUUGAUGGUGGUUUGGGUGAUGAUUCAGCAGCUGCUGGCUCCAGCCAUGGCCCUAGUUUCACGGAUGGCAUGAGCUUCGAUGAUGUUUCAGACAAUGGUAAACAAGCAGACGCACAUGGAAAAAACAAGAAUGUCUGUGAUUGUGAUGAUCAACAGGAAGGCGGGCCAGUGCAACAAGAAAAUGUUGAACACCUGUCACAGGAGGACAUACUCAUUUUCAUAGAAAAUGACAGUGUCUGUGCGGCUCAGGCUCAGACUUGCAGCCAAGAAGUACGGAGCCACCAUGUGCCAUAUGUGGGCAUGGUCUUUGAUUCUUGUGAUGCUGCCCAUGCAUUCUACAAUGAGUAUGCAGCCAUUUGUGGUUUUGCAAUCAAGAAAGCAGGCAACUACCAUGCAACUAAACCUGGUGGCAAGGCAGUGUCCCGUUACACUUACAGGUGCAACCGCUCGGGUAAAGUUGUUGGCGAGGAUGUGCUUGAAGAAAGGAAAAAACAGAGGCAGCUCAAGAAGCAAGAAAAAACAGGGAUUCCCCCACCUGAGAAGGCAAAAAGGAAGAGGAAAAACUUCAUACAAAUAACCGGGUGCCAGGCUAAAAUGAUUGCAACACUAAAAGGAGACAAAUGGGUUGUCACGAGUGUUGACCUGGAGCACAACCACACCCUUAGCCCUCCAGACGAGAGCAAGUAUCUCAGAUCGCACAAGAAGAUGACAGAGGAAGAGAAGUUGUUUAUCAGGACAUUUAACUCUGUACAAAUGCCCACUAGGAAGAUUAUGGCCAUUCUUUCUUACCUGCGAGGGGGUGAUGCACCAUACACUAAGAAAUAUGUUAGCAAUGUGAGGACGGCAAUAAACAGAGAGAAUGGCAAGGGAGAUAUGCUGCAGGUCCUUGAGUACUUUAGGAACAAACAAAAGGAAGAUCCAAAUUUCUACUAUGCAUUCAAAGUUGCUGACGAGGACAUCAACAAGGUGUUGUGCAUAUUCUGGGCGGAUGGCUACUCGAGAAAAAUGUAUGAGCUGUAUGGUGAUUGUUUGAGUUUCGACACGACAUACAAGACAAACCGUUACAAUAUGCCGUUUGCACCGUUUGUUGGCAUCACUGGACACGGGCUCAACUGCUUGUUUGCUUGUGCUAUAGUGCAUAACGAGACGGUGGACACAUUUGAAUGGCUUUUCGACACAUUUCUGGACUGCAUGCGUCGAAAAGCUCCUCUCACGGUCAUUACUGACCAAGAUGUGGCAAUGAAGACCGCGGUUCCUGCUGUUUUCAAGGGUGUUGUUCAUAGGUGUUGUCUCUUCCACAUAAUGAAAAAGGUUCGGGAAAGAUGUGUGAGAACCUUUUCAACACAACCAGACUUGUAUGCUGACUUCAGCGACAUCAUGCAUAACUGCCUGACAGAGGCAGAGUUUGAGACGUUGUGGCCACCGAUGACGCAGAAGUAUGGAGUAGAGAAUGUCAAGUACUUCAGGUACAUGUGGAAGUAUAGGGAGUUGUUUGUCCCAGUCUAUUUCAAGAAAAGCUUCUUCCCUUUCAUCCACUCGACUGCCCGGAGUGAAGGGACAAAUGCCAUAUUCAAGGACAAUGUAGGCUCAACAUUCAGUGUGAUUACCUUUUUGCGUGAGUAUGAGCGGAUAUUGAAAGCGAUGCAGGAGAAUGAGAAGGAACAAGACUCUAUUACCAGAACAACAAAGCCAACCUACUGGCUGGGCACUGAACUGGAAUUGCAGGCUGCAGAGAAGUACAAUAGAGCGAUAUUCUACAGAUUUUAG